UAGUUAAGUCCAAGAGUCUUGGAGUAUCUGGAACCUUAAAGACCCAAAUGCCUUUAGCCGGGGGAAAUCACUCUCGUUGUUAUUAAAGCCUCCAGCUUAUAAAGGCUAUUGUGCAGUGCAGAACACCUUUCAUGUACAGCAGCUAAGAUCACUUUCCACCUCUGGGAUCCCUCUUUUUUUCAAGAUGUUGAGCUUCUUUGUGUGUGGCUUCAUCAGCUAAUUAACAGUACUGAUAUAUGUUUGUGUCUUCUUUUUAUCAUGGCGGCAUUUCUGCUAGAGAGGAGCUUGGAACUCACGUCAGACAUUGCAUAAAUGGAUGUAAUGAGUUCCUGAGAAUACAUUGACUUGUGUAAAUUGAACAUGAUCUCUGGAACUCCAGCUAUGUUGAAAAGGUUAAAUUGUGUGUUUAACUAUAUGACGAAAUCAGUGAAGUGAUAUGUGAAGUAAAUAUAGCGUAAACACCUUUA
This is a long non-coding RNA of Pezoporus flaviventris, 467 nucleotides long. RefSeq lists it as uncharacterized. The transcript is spliced from 2 exons. NCBI's taxonomy places the organism in Eukaryota, Metazoa, Chordata, Aves, Psittaciformes, Psittacidae. The record is from RefSeq and is a predicted model, not a curated record.